This 460-nucleotide ribosomal RNA is filed under the name uncultured bacterium. Its description in RNAcentral is "partial 16S ribosomal RNA". It matches the Rfam family "Bacterial small subunit ribosomal RNA", at positions 338 to 795 of the family's 1533-position model. The record is from RNAcentral.
CCUACGGGAGGCUGCAGUGAGGAAUAUUGGUCAAUGGACGAGAGUCUGAACCAGCCAAGUAGCGUGAAGGAUGACUGCCCUAUGGGUUGUAAACUUCUUUUAUAUGGGAAUAAACUGUUCCACGUGUGGGAUUUUGUAUGUACCAUAUGAAUAAGGAUCGGCUAACUCCGUGCCAGCAGCCGCGGUAAUACGGAGGAUACGAGCGUUAUCCGGAUUUAUUGGGUUUAAAGGGAGCGUAGGUAGAUUGUUAAGUCAGGUGUGAAAGUUUGCGGCUCAACCGUAAAAUUGCAGUUGAAACUGGCAGUCUUGAGUACAGUAGAGGUGGGCGGAAUGCGUGGUGUAGCGGUGAAAUGCUUAGAUAUCACGAAGAACUCCGAUUGCGAAGGCAGUUCACUGGACUGCAACUGACACUGAGGCUCGAAAGUGUGGGUAUCAAACAGGAUUAGAUACCCUGGUAGUC